AGAACAUUCUCAUUAUUAUGGCAGUUGGAAGGAGUAUGUAUCAACAGAAGACAUAGGAUCUAUGCAUCCAAAACGAGAGCAAAGAACACAAUUUUUAUUAUCUUUGUAAAGACACUCCAAGCUUGAAUGGCAAAGCCACGGGACAGAUGGAGAGGAUGGAUCUGCAGCCUUCUGAUAUCUGCUGGAGUAUCAGGGCACCCAAAAACCCAAAGAAAAG
This is a long non-coding RNA of Sarcophilus harrisii (Tasmanian devil), 217 nucleotides long. RefSeq lists it as uncharacterized. The transcript has 2 exons. The record is from RefSeq and is a predicted model, not a curated record. NCBI's taxonomy places the organism in Eukaryota, Metazoa, Chordata, Mammalia, Dasyuromorphia, Dasyuridae.